GAUGAACGCUGGCGGCGUGCCUAAUACAUGCAAGUCGAGCGAACAGACGAGGAGCUUGCUCCUGUGACGUUAGCGGCGGACGGGUGAGUAACACGUGGAUAACCUACCUAUAAGACUGGGAUAACUUCGGGAAACCGGAGCUAAUACCGGAUAAUAUAUUGAACCGCAUGGUUCAAUAGUGAAAGACGGUUUUGCUGUCACUUAUAGAUGGAUCCGCGCCGCAUUAGCUAGUUGGUAAGGUAACGGCUUACCAAGGCAACGAUGCGUAGCCGACCUGAGAGGGUGAGCGGCCACACUGGAACUGAGACACGGUCCAGACUCCUACGGGAGGCAGCAGUAGGGAAUCUUCCGCAAUGGGCGAAAGCCUGACGGAGCAACGCCGCGUGAGUGAUGAAGGUCUUCGGAUCGUAAAACUCUGUUAUUAGGGAAGAACAAAUGUGUAAGUAACUAUGCACGUCUUGACGGUACCUAAUCAGAAAGCAACGGCUAACUACGUG
RNAcentral lists this ribosomal RNA (497 nucleotides) under uncultured bacterium. RNAcentral's name for it is "partial 16S ribosomal RNA". It matches the Rfam family "Bacterial small subunit ribosomal RNA", at positions 28 to 507 of the family's 1533-position model. The record is from RNAcentral.